This 26-nucleotide non-coding RNA is filed under the name Mus musculus (house mouse). The record is from RNAcentral. Lineage: Eukaryota; Metazoa; Chordata; Mammalia; Rodentia; Muridae.
UGCCAUGCAUUGGGGUAGAUGUCGGG